UUUAGUUAGGCAUGGCUUGAAAUACUAAGGUGACUGAGUGAGAACAUAAAUGAAAAUCUUAUUUUUAAAAAGUCUCCUUAACUAAAAAUACCUACAGUCGUUCCAUAUUUUGACAACUCUUUAACAAAGCUGUUUGGCAGUUAUUAGCUAGAAAUGCAAAGGGGUGAGCCAGUUGCCUAGAAUGAUGCCCUUUUAAUUAUUGGAUGAACUUUCUUAAAUAUUGAAAACAACUUAAGGUUGUGUACAUUUUGUUUUGCUUCAGUCUAAGAAUUUAUCUAUCCCUGAGUAAUCUAGAAAGCAGAUCUGAGGGAUCGAGCAGGUGCAGGGUUUUGCUAUUACAGUUCUGCAAGACCAAACAAUACUUCCUUCUGUGCUUUCACCCUGAAAAAGAUAUCCUGAACAGGGGUCUCCCAAUGCUUGAGGUCAGUCUCCAGAUCAGAGCUGUGUUCUCUGGACACUCACUUGUUUUCUGAACCAGUGAGAGGUGAACAGUCUCUGUUGUCCCCUUGCUUUUCCUGGCUCCCCUUCCUCCCACAUACCUUUGCUAUUUGUCCGGAAACACAGGCAGGAAUAUAAAUAACUUAAAUAUACAGUGUUUUCCUUAAGUGGCUGGUUAUUUUGCAAUAGAUUGUUUGAGAAAAUCUCCCCGAAAAAUUGCUGCUUCCUUUUGGUGAUGUUAGCUCAGGCUUUCCCCUUGUGUUUUCCAGAAAAUUCCAUGUUCAAGAAGCUGAACUUUCCUGCUCCACAUAAAAGCUUCGGGGUAUGCUUAACCUUCUCCCUCUUCUGAACUGCAUCUGACAUUCGAAUGUUCCCUGUCCUGCUACAUGAAGAUCUUCACUUACUGCUUCUAAUUGGAUUUGCUUUUCCUGCUGUAGAUGCGUGAAGGGCGUGCUGAGAUUCGAUUAGCUCACCACCUCAGUGGAUUUCUACUAUAUUUACAGAUUAAAUACCAAUUUCUUUACAUUCUGCCUUUCAACAUUAAACCAAGGUGUGCCUAAUGACGACAACAGCUUUCAACCAAAGGUCACAAGGACAGCUUCCCAGGACUGAGUGACGUAUCCACCUGGAUUUAUCUCUAUGCAAAAGUCUUCAUUUAUGCCUUCUUUCUUUGUUCUUUCUCCAAACCAACCACUGUAAACUACACAGCAUGGCUCUCUGCUUAUUCAUUUUUUGAAUUUUUGUUUAUUUAUUAUACAGAGAUGGGGGUCUCACUAUGUUACCCAGGCUGAUCUCAAACUCCUGGCCUCAAGCAAUCCUCCUGCCUCAGCCUCCCAAAGUGCUGGGAUUACAGGCAUGAGCCACCAUGCUCAGUCCAUGGCUCUCUGUUUAUACCUCAGUUUUAAAAAUCAGAGUAAAUGGUCAUCUUGGGCAUUUGUUUUUCUGAUAAAAGCUUCAUAAAUGUGCACACUCUUUUGCAUCUGCCUGCUCUCCCCACAGGCCUGUUGCUGUCCAAACCAGUGUGAAGAGUAUGACUUAAUGGAGAAAACUACUGCUAAAAAGAGUCCAUUAGCCCAUUGGACGAAUUUCUUGGACUGCAUUAAAAUCAGUUCAAUCAUUUAAAACAAUUAUUAAGUGCAUAAUAUAUAGCGGACCAUUUUAGGCAUGGAACACAGCACAGCAAAUAAAACAGACACAAAUCCCUGCCCUUGUGGAAUUUAGACCCUAGUGGUGAUAUAGAAAAAAAAAAAAAAAAUGAAUAAAGGGAAGAGGG
Molecule: long non-coding RNA, 1711 nt
Organism: Chlorocebus sabaeus (green monkey)
Lineage: Eukaryota; Metazoa; Chordata; Mammalia; Primates; Cercopithecidae
Source: RefSeq, a predicted model, not a curated record